RNAcentral lists this small nuclear RNA (107 nucleotides) under Cervus hanglu yarkandensis (Yarkand deer). The record is from RNAcentral. Lineage: Eukaryota; Metazoa; Chordata; Mammalia; Artiodactyla; Cervidae.
GUGCUCGCUUCAGCAGCACGUAUACUAAAAUUGGAACGAUACAGAGAAGAUUAGCAUGGCUCCUGCGCAAGGAUGACACGCAAAUUCGUGAAGUGUUCCAUAUUUUU